RNAcentral lists this ribosomal RNA (253 nucleotides) under uncultured bacterium. Its description in RNAcentral is "partial 16S ribosomal RNA". It matches the Rfam family "Bacterial small subunit ribosomal RNA", at positions 524 to 776 of the family's 1533-position model. The record is from RNAcentral.
GACGAAGGAUGCAAGCGUUAUCCGGAUUCAUUGGGUUUAAAGGGAGCGUAGGUGGCCAAAUAAGUCAGUGGUGAAAUCCUGUUGCUUAACAACAGAAUUGCCAUUGAUACUGUAUGGCUUGAGUACAGUUGCUGUGGGCGGAAUAUGACAUGUAGUGGUGAAAUACAUAGAUAUUAGGAAGAACACCGGUGGCGAAGGCGGCCCACUGGAUCGGUACUGACGCUGAGGUGCGAAAGCGUGGGGAGCAAACAGG